This 68-nucleotide transfer RNA is filed under the name Ovis aries (sheep). It matches the Rfam family "tRNA". Rfam says of the family: Transfer RNA (tRNA) molecules are approximately 80 nucleotides in length. Their secondary structure includes four short double-helical elements and three loops (D, anti-codon, and T loops). Further hydrogen bonds mediate the characteristic L-shaped molecular structure. tRNAs have two regions of fundamental functional importance: the anti-codon, which is responsible for specific mRNA codon recognition, and the 3' end, to which the tRNAs corresponding amino acid is attached (by aminoacyl-tRNA synthetases). tRNAs cope with the degeneracy of the genetic code in two manners: having more than one tRNA (with a specific anti-codon) for a particular amino acid; and 'wobble' base-pairing, i.e. permitting non-standard base-pairing at the 3rd anti-codon position. Lineage: Eukaryota; Metazoa; Chordata; Mammalia; Artiodactyla; Bovidae. The record is from Rfam by way of RNAcentral.
CCUGAUAUCUCAGUUGGUAAAGAAUCUGCCUGCAAUGCUGGAGAUCCUGGUUUGAUUUCCAGGUCAGG